Molecule: long non-coding RNA, 397 nt
Organism: Oncorhynchus keta (chum salmon)
Lineage: Eukaryota; Metazoa; Chordata; Actinopteri; Salmoniformes; Salmonidae
Exons: 3
Source: RefSeq, a predicted model, not a curated record
CUCAGGGUAUCAGCCUACAUUCCACCAGCCUCAUGUCAGGCUAUCAGCCUACAUUCCACCAGCCUUAUCUCAGGGUAUCAGCCUACAUUCCACCUGCCUCAUGUCAGGCUAUCAGCCUACAUUCCACCAGCCUUAUGUCAGGGUAUCAGCCUACAUUCCACCAGCCUCAUGUCAGGCUAUCAGCCUACAUUCCACCAGCCUCAUGUCAGGCUAUCAGCCUACAUUCCACCAGCCUCAUGUCAGGCUAUCAGCCUACAUUCCACCAGCCUCAUGUCAGGCUAUCAUCCUACAUUCCACCAGCCUCAUGUCAGGGUAUCAGCCUACAUUCCACCAGCCUUAUGUCAGGGUAUCAGCCUACAUUCCACCAGCCUCAUGUCAGGCUAUCAGCCUACAUUCC